RNAcentral lists this ribosomal RNA (852 nucleotides) under uncultured bacterium. RNAcentral describes it as "bacterial SSU rRNA". It matches the Rfam family "Bacterial small subunit ribosomal RNA", at positions 45 to 890 of the family's 1533-position model. The record is from RNAcentral.
UGUUAGAUGCUUGCAUUGUAACUGAUUUAGCGUUGAGACGAGUGGCGAACUGGUGAGUAACACGUGGGUAACCUGCCCUUGAAGUAGGGGAUAACACUUGGAAACAGGUGCUAAUACCGUAUAACAACCAAAACCACCUGGUUUUGGUUUAAAAGAUGGCUUCGGCUAUCACUUUAGGAUGGACCCGCGGCGUAUUAGCUUGUUGGUAAGGUAACGGCCUACCAAGGCAAUGAUACGUAGCCGACCUGAGAGGGUAAUCGGCCACAUUGGGACUGAGACACGGCCCAAACUCCUACGGGAGGCAGCAGUAGGGAAUCUUCCACAAUGGACGAAAGUCUGAUGGAGCAACGCCGCGUGAGUGAUGAAGGGUUUCGGCUCGUAAAACUCUGUUGUUGGAGAAGAACAGGUGUGAGAGUAACUGUUCACAUCUUGACGGUAUCCAACCAGAAAGCCACGGCUAACUACGUGCCAGCAGCCGCGGUAAUACGUAGGUGGCAAGCGUUGUCCGGAUUUAUUGGGCGUAAAGCGAGCGCAGGCGGUUUCUUAGGUCUGAUGUGAAAGCCUUCGGCUUAACCGGAGAAGUGCAUCGGAAACCAGGAGACUUGAGUGCAGAAGAGGACAGUGGAACUCCAUGUGUAGCGGUGAAAUGCGUAGAUAUAUGGAAGAACACCAGUGGCGAAGGCGGCUGUCUGGUCUGUAACUGACGCUGAGGCUCGAAAGCAUGGGUAGCGAACAGGAUUAGAUACCCUGGUAGUCCAUGCCGUAAACGAUGAGUGCUAAGUGUUGGAGGGUUUCCGCCCUUCAGUGCUGCAGCUAACGCAUUAAGCACUCCGCCUGGGGAGUACGACCGCA